AACGAACGCUGGCGGCAUGCCUAACACAUGCAAGUCGAACGAGACCUUCGGGUCUAGUGGCGCACGUGUGCGUAACGCGUGGGAACCUGCCCUUAGGUUCGGAAUAACUCCCCGAAAGGGGUGCUAAUACCGGAUAAUUUCUUCGGUCCAAAGAUUUAUCGCCUUUGGAUGGGCCCGCUUUCGAUUAGCUCGUUGGUAGGGGAAAAGCCUACCAAGGCGAGGAUCCAUAGCUGGUCUGAGAGGAUGAUCAGCAACACUGGGACUGAGACACGACCCAGACUCGUACGGGAGGAAGCAGGAGGGAAUAUUGGAGAAUGGGAGAAAGACUGAGCCAGCAAUGCCGCGGGAGUGAUGAAGGCCUUAGGGUUGUAAAGCUUUUUUACCAGGGAUGAUAAUGACAGUACCGGGAGAAUAAGCUCCGGCUAACUCCGUG
Molecule: ribosomal RNA, 433 nt
Filed under: uncultured bacterium
Lineage: Bacteria
Description: partial 16S ribosomal RNA
Rfam family: Bacterial small subunit ribosomal RNA
Source: RNAcentral